Unclassified non-coding RNA from Rattus norvegicus (Norway rat), 284 nucleotides. Ensembl annotates it as Metazoan signal recognition particle RNA. The record is from Ensembl. Lineage: Eukaryota; Metazoa; Chordata; Mammalia; Rodentia; Muridae.
UCCGGGUGCUGUGGUGCACACCUGUAGUCCCAGCUACUCGGGAGGCUGAGACAGGAGGAUCGCUUGAGUCCAGGAGUUCUGGGCUGUAGUGUGCUAUGCUGAUCGGGUGUUCACACUAAGUUUGGCAUUAAUAUGGUGACCUCCCAGGAGUGGGGGACCACCGGGUUGCCUAAGGAGGGGAGAACUGGCCCAGGUCAGAAACGGAGCAAGUCAAAACUCCCGUGCUGAUCAAAGACCAGAGUAAAUCUGUCCAGCUCUAACAUCUGAGAGAUCCUAGAUGUCUC